AUGAGAGUUCAAGAGUACGUGAAACUGUGUGGUGGUAAACGGAGGGGUUCUCGAAGUUUCUGUGGGGAACUCAGCCUUGGUGUCGCGUGGCCCUGUAGUGUCCGAUCAGCAAUGACGGUGCUGCUUGGCCGACGUGUCUCUCGGGUGCAUUUCCCCCGCAGUUUACGGCAGGAACUGUUUGGAGCGCACCGAAGGCCCUGGGUGAAGUUGUCGGUUCUGCUGGCAGCCCCGGGUGUCCUGGCUUCGCACCAGACAGGUACGUGAGGGGACUCGUAUAGCGAGCAAUGCUCUGUUGCGGUUCCCAUCUCUCUGCCGAGUAGGUCGGUGGCCCCUCCGACCCGUCUUGAAACACGGACCAU
This 359-nucleotide ribosomal RNA is filed under the name Mesocalanus tenuicornis. RNAcentral describes it as "partial 28S ribosomal RNA". The record is from RNAcentral. Lineage: Eukaryota; Metazoa; Arthropoda; Copepoda; Calanoida; Calanidae.